GCGAGAGUGGCGGAACGGCAGACGCGCUAGGUUCAGGACCUAGUGCCCGCAAGGGUGUGUGGGUUCAAAUCCCUCCUCUCGCACCA
Molecule: transfer RNA, 86 nt
Filed under: Bacillota bacterium
Lineage: Bacteria; Bacillati; Bacillota
Description: Firmicutes bacterium (anaerobic digester metagenome) tRNA-Leu
Rfam family: tRNA
About the family: Transfer RNA (tRNA) molecules are approximately 80 nucleotides in length.
Source: RNAcentral